This 305-nucleotide ribosomal RNA is filed under the name uncultured bacterium. Its description in RNAcentral is "bacterial SSU rRNA". It matches the Rfam family "Bacterial small subunit ribosomal RNA", at positions 331 to 655 of the family's 1533-position model. The record is from RNAcentral.
CUAGACCUACGGGGGGCAGCAGUAAGGGAUAUUGGUCAAUGGGGGAAACCCUGAACCAGCAACGCCGCGUGAGGGAAGACGGUUUUCGGAUUGUAAACCUCUGUCCUCUGUGAAGAUGAUGACGGUAGCAGAGGAGGAAGCUCCGGCUAACUACGUGCCAGCAGCCGCGGUAAUACGUAGGGAGCGAGCGUUGUCCGGAUUUACUGGGUGUAAAGGGAGCGUAGACGGCAGCGCAAGUCUGGAGUGAAAUGCCGGGGCCCAACCCCGGAACUGCUUUGGAAACUGUGCAGCUCGAGUGCAGGAGG